Molecule: non-coding RNA, 266 nt
Organism: Sus scrofa (pig)
Lineage: Eukaryota; Metazoa; Chordata; Mammalia; Artiodactyla; Suidae
Source: RefSeq, a predicted model, not a curated record
GAUUUCCACAGCCUCUGUCUUCCCUCUGCACCUGGAUGCUUCAGCCUCUGCAGGACACCCAUUUGAAGGAACCUGUCUAAAUCCAUAGAUGUCCACGAGCUUCAUCUUCCCUCUGCACCUGAGCUUCUUCAGCCUCUGAAGGACACCCAUUCAAAGGAAGCUCUCUAAAACCAUGUAAGAGAUCUCCUCAAGCAUUUUUCCCUGCCCCCAAGCCUCUUCCUCCUCUGCCAGACACCUGUUGCAAGGUAGCUAGCUACCUAAAACUG